Molecule: ribosomal RNA, 1104 nt
Filed under: Lasiosphaeris sp. 4 ANM-2011
Lineage: Eukaryota; Fungi; Ascomycota; Sordariomycetes; Sordariales; Lasiosphaeriaceae
Description: LSU rRNA
Rfam family: Eukaryotic large subunit ribosomal RNA
Source: RNAcentral
GUACCCGCUGAACUUAAGCAUAUCAAUAAGCGGAGGAAAAGAAACCAACAGGGAUUGCCUCAGUAACGGCGAGUGAAGCGGCAACAGCUCAAAUUUGAAAUCCGGCCUCGGCCCGAGUUGUAAUUUGUAGAGGAAGAUUCCGGUGAGGUACCUGCUGAGUCUCCUGGAACGGAGCGCCGCAGAGGGUGAGAGCCCCGUAUAGCAGGACGCCAAGCCUUUGUGAAUCCCCUUCGACGAGUCGAGUAGUUUGGGAAUGCUGCUCAAAAUGGGAGGUAAAUUCCUUCUAAAGCUAAAUACUGGCCAGAGACCGAUAGCGCACAAGUAGAGUGAUCGAAAGAUGAAAAGCACUUUGAAAAGAGGGUUAAACAGCACGUGAAAUUGUUGAAAGGGAAGCGCUCGUGACCAGACUUGCGCCGGAGCGAUCAUCCGCUCUUCUGAGCGGUGCACUCGCCCCGGGGCAGGCCAGCAUCGGUUCCGGCGGGGGGACAACAGUUCAGGGAAUGUGGCUCGCCUCGGCGAGUGUUAUAGCCCGGUUCACAAUGCCCCCGCGGGGACCGAGGUUCGCGCGUCUGCAAGGAUGCUGGCGUAAUGGUCACCAGCGACCCGUCUUGAAACACGGACCAAGGAGUCAAGGUUUCGCGCGAGUGUCUGGGUGUCAAACCCGCACGCGUAAUGAAAGUGAACGUAGGUGAGAGCUUCGGCGCAUCAUCGACCGAUCCUGAUGUCUUCGGAUGGAUUUGAGUAGGAGCGUCAAGCCUUGGACCCGAAAGAUGGUGAACUAUGCUUGGAUAGGGUGAAGCCAGAGGAAACUCUGGUGGAGGCUCGCAGCGGUUCUGACGUGCAAAUCGAUCGUCAAAUCUGAGCAUGGGGGCGAAAGACUAAUCGAACCAUCUAGUAGCUGGUUACCGCCGAAGUUUCCCUCAGGAUAGCAGUGUUGUUCUUCAGUUUUAUGAGGUAAAGCGAAUGAUUAGGGACUCGGGGGCGCCAUAUUGCCUUCAUCCAUUCUCAAACUUUAAAUAUGUAAGAAGCCCUUGUUACUCAACUGAACGUGGGCGUUCGAAUGUACCAACACUAGUGGGCCAUUUUUGGUAAGCAGAACUGGCG